GAGAGAGAGAGAGAGAGAGAGAUGGUCUCCUCCAGAAAAGCCCGACAUGCUGCUGUACUGUGACGGUCUGCUGCACGGGCUGCAAGGCAUGGAGGAUAUUCAGAAAACGGCCAGCCUUUACAGCUCUCUUGCUCUUGUAAGACAGGAUGCAACAAAAGGCCUCACAGCAGUUAUGAAGAUAAUCUCCCAACAUGUGAAACUGGAAGCGUAAUUCUCCUCCUCUAGAGUAUCAUGGCUUAAUCAAGCAGCGACAGAGAUGGUAAUCCUCUGGUCUUAAUGAUGAUGGAUGGAGAGGUGUCCUUCGUCUUUAAGCCUGUUUGCUUCGCUCCGCUGUUUGCCAUUGAUUCAAGGAUUAACAAUCUAAAUGGGUUUGAUCAAAAAACUGUAAAUAGUAACUGAAAGGAGCUGAUGGAAAUCACCAAAGCCAAACAAUAAACUGUGAAAACAAUGAGUGUGUGUGUGUGUGUAAGCCGGAGGCACAGCUCCCUGUGGUUGAGUCAUAGGGGGAUAAACACGGGCA
Molecule: long non-coding RNA, 520 nt
Organism: Thunnus maccoyii (southern bluefin tuna)
Lineage: Eukaryota; Metazoa; Chordata; Actinopteri; Scombriformes; Scombridae
Exons: 4
Source: RefSeq, a predicted model, not a curated record